CAGUGACCCGGGGCAGUGCCAGGAGAAAUCGAACCAGUGACCCCUGCCCGUUUUGCUACAACAGCAAUAUCUGCUUCAAAGAGAAACGCCGACAAACAUCAGGCCUUUUACGAGAUCUCUGCUCCAAAGUAAGUGGCAAAGGCAGGCGGAGGAGUCUUACUUGCAGUAGGUGUCGUUGAUCAUGCCGUAGACGUGGAUCUCUUUGCACAUGUCCAUGGCGAGGAUGAGCGUGAACCAGCCUGUGCUGAGGGCGCCGAGAGCUCACCGCUGCUCAAAGUAAGCCAGAAGAAGUCGGGGAGAAAGCACAAGGAGGAUUACAGCGCUUUGGAGCCGAAGAGGUGUCGAUCCCACUCUGGAUGUGACGGGAUCAGGCCGGGCUUUGCCGGCUCGGACGUUUGGCCUCGCAAUGAAUCGCUUUGUCAUUCAAGUG
This is a long non-coding RNA of Syngnathus acus (greater pipefish), 430 nucleotides long. RefSeq lists it as uncharacterized. The transcript has 3 exons. The record is from RefSeq and is a predicted model, not a curated record. NCBI's taxonomy places the organism in Eukaryota, Metazoa, Chordata, Actinopteri, Syngnathiformes, Syngnathidae.